RNAcentral lists this ribosomal RNA (486 nucleotides) under uncultured bacterium. RNAcentral's name for it is "partial 16S ribosomal RNA". It matches the Rfam family "Bacterial small subunit ribosomal RNA", at positions 30 to 507 of the family's 1533-position model. The record is from RNAcentral.
AUUGAACGCUGGCGGCAUGCCUUACACAUGCAAGUCGAACGGCAGCACGGGUGCUUGCACCUGGUGGCGAGUGGCGAACGGGUGAGUAAUACAUCGGAACAUGUCCUGUAGUGGGGGAUAGCCCGGCGAAAGCCGGAUUAAUACCGCAUACGAUCUACGGAUGAAAGCGGGGGACCUUCGGGCCUCGCGCUAUAGGGUUGGCCGAUAGCUGAUUAGCUAGUUGGUGGGGUAAAGGCCUACCAAGGCGACGAUCAGUAGCUGGUCUGAGAGGACGACCAGCCACACUGGGACUGAGACACGGCCCAGACUCCUACGGGAGGCAGCAGUGGGGAAUUUUGGACAAUGGGCGAAAGCCUGAUCCAGCAAUGCCGCGUGUGUGAAGAAGGCCUUCGGGUUUUAAAGCACUUUUGUCCGGAAAGAAAUCCUUGGCUCUAAUACAGUCGGGGGAUGACGGUACCGGAAGAAUAAGCACCGGCUAACUACGUG